UGGGGAAUCUUGGACAAUGGGCGCAAGCCUGAUCCAGCCAUGCCGCGUGAGUGAAGAAGGCCUUCGGGUUGUAAAGCUCUUUUGUCAGGGACGAUAAUGACGGUACCUGAAGAAUAAGCCCCGGCAAACUUCGUGCCAGCAGCCGCGGUGAUACGAAGGGGGCUAGCGUUGUUCGGAAUUACUGGGCGUAAAGCGCACGUAGGCUGAUUGUUAAGUCAGGGGUGAAAUCCCGGAGCUCAACUCCGGAAC
RNAcentral lists this ribosomal RNA (249 nucleotides) under uncultured bacterium. RNAcentral describes it as "partial 16S ribosomal RNA". It matches the Rfam family "Bacterial small subunit ribosomal RNA", at positions 355 to 621 of the family's 1533-position model. RNAcentral also lists the same sequence under 1 other name. The record is from RNAcentral.